UACGUAGGGUGCGAGCGUUAAUCGGAAUUACUGGGCGUAAAGCGUGCGCAGGCGGUGAUGUAAGACCGAUGUGAAAUCCCCGGGCUUAACCUGGGAACUGCAUUGGUGACUGCAUUGCUGGAGUAUGGCAGAGGGGGGUGGAAUUCCACGUGUAGCAGUGAAAUGCGUAGAGAUGUGGAGGAACACCGAUGGCGAAGGCAGCCCCCUGGGCCAAAACUGACGCUCAUGCACGAAAGCGUGGGGAGCAAACAGG
Molecule: ribosomal RNA, 253 nt
Filed under: uncultured bacterium
Lineage: Bacteria
Description: partial 16S ribosomal RNA
Rfam family: Bacterial small subunit ribosomal RNA
Source: RNAcentral